UCCUUGAUGGUCCAGUGGUCAGGACUCAGAACUUUCAUUGCUGGGGUCCAGGUUCAAUCCCUGGUCAGGGAA
Molecule: non-coding RNA, 72 nt
Organism: Dama dama (fallow deer)
Lineage: Eukaryota; Metazoa; Chordata; Mammalia; Artiodactyla; Cervidae
Source: the annotation of a RefSeq genome assembly